GAUGAACGCUAGCGGCAGGCUUAACACAUGCAAGUCGAGGGGCAGCAUGAGACGGAGAUUCGUCGAAGUCUUGAUGGCGACCGGCGCAAGGGUGCGUAACGCGUGAGCAACUUGCCCGUUUCAGGGGGAUAACCGGUGGAAACGCCGACUAAUACCCCAUGGCAUCAUUUUAAGGCAUCUUUUAAUGAUUAAAGAAUUUCGGAAACGGAUAGGCUCGCGUGACAUUAGCUUGAUGGCGGGGUAACGGCCCACCAUGGCGACGAUGUCUAGGGGUUCUGAGAGGAAGGUCCCCCACACUGGAACUGAGACACGGUCCAGACUCCUACGGGAGGCAGCAGUGAGGAAUAUUGGUCAAUGGGCGAGAGCCUGAACCAGCCAAGUAGCGUGAAGGAAGACUGCCCUAUGGGUUGUAAACUUCUUUUGUUCGGGAAUAAAGUGCAGUACGCGUACUGUUUUGUAUGUACCGUUCGAAUAAGCAUCGGCUAAUUCCGUGCCAGCAGCCG
This 503-nucleotide ribosomal RNA is filed under the name uncultured bacterium. RNAcentral's name for it is "bacterial SSU rRNA". It matches the Rfam family "Bacterial small subunit ribosomal RNA", at positions 28 to 517 of the family's 1533-position model. The record is from RNAcentral.